UACGUAGGGUGCAAGCGUUGUCCGGAAUUAUUGGGCGUAAAGAGCUCGUAGGCGGUUUGUCGCGUCUGCUGUGAAAACCCGCGGCUCAACCGCGGGCCUGCAGCCGAUACGGGCAGGCUAGAGUUCGGGUAGGGGGAGACUGGAAUUCCUGGUGUAGCGGUGAAAAUGCGCAGAUAUCAAGGAGGAACACCCGAUGGCGAAGGCAGGGUCUCUGGGCCGAUACUGACGCUGGAGGAGCGAAAGC
Molecule: ribosomal RNA, 244 nt
Filed under: uncultured bacterium
Lineage: Bacteria
Description: partial 16S ribosomal RNA
Rfam family: Bacterial small subunit ribosomal RNA
Source: RNAcentral